GUUUCAAGAUAAGAAGGCAAUUGGAAUGAUGCAGAGAAGAUUAGCAUGGCCCCUGAACAUGGCUGACAUACCAACUCUCAAAGCAUUUUGUAUUUUU
This is a small nuclear RNA of Dipodomys ordii (Ord's kangaroo rat), 97 nucleotides long. The record is from Ensembl. Lineage: Eukaryota; Metazoa; Chordata; Mammalia; Rodentia; Heteromyidae.